GACGAACGCUGGCGGCGUGCCUAAUACAUGCAAGUCGAGCGGAGUUAGAGAAGCUUGCUUCUCUAAUUUAGCGGCGGACGGGUGAGUAACACGUGGGCAAUCUGCCCGUAAGACUGGGAUAACUCCGGGAAACCGGGGCUAAUACCGGAUAAUACUGACUCUCUCCUGAGAGUCAGUUGAAAGAUGGUUUCGGCUAUCACUUACGGAUGAGCCCGCGGCGCAUUAGCUAGUUGGUAGGGUAAUGGCCUACCAAGGCGACGAUGCGUAGCCGACCUGAGAGGGUGAUCGGCCACACUGGGACUGAGACACGGCCCAGACUCCUACGGGAGGCAGCAGUAGGGAAUCUUCCGCAAUGGACGAAAGUCUGAUGGAGCAACGCCGCGUGAGUGAAGAAGGUUUUCGGAUCGUAAAACUCUGUUGUAAGGGAAGAACACGUACGAGAGUAACUGCUCGUACCUUGACGGUACCUUAUUAGAAAGCCACGGCUAACUACGUG
RNAcentral lists this ribosomal RNA (496 nucleotides) under uncultured bacterium. Its description in RNAcentral is "bacterial SSU rRNA". It matches the Rfam family "Bacterial small subunit ribosomal RNA", at positions 28 to 507 of the family's 1533-position model. The record is from RNAcentral.